This 481-nucleotide ribosomal RNA is filed under the name uncultured bacterium. RNAcentral describes it as "partial 16S ribosomal RNA". It matches the Rfam family "Bacterial small subunit ribosomal RNA", at positions 28 to 523 of the family's 1533-position model. The record is from RNAcentral.
GACGAACGCUGGCGGCGUGCUUAACACAUGCAAGUCGAACGGUGAUGCGGAGCUUGCUCCGCGGAUCAGUGGCGAACGGGUGAGUAACACGUGAGUAACCUGCCCUCGACUCUGGGAUAAGCGUUGGAAACGACGUCUAAUACCGGAUACGACCUCAGAAGGCAUCUUCUUUGGUGGAAAGAACUUCGGUCGAGGAUGGACUCGCGGCCUAUCAGCUUGUUGGUGAGGUAAUGGCUCACCAAGGCGACGACGGGUAGCCGGCCUGAGAGGGUGACCGGCCACACUGGGACUGAGACACGGCCCAGACUCCUACGGGAGGCAGCAGUGGGGAAUAUUGCACAAUGGGCGCAAGCCUGAUGCAGCAACGCCGCGUGAGGGAUGACGGCCUUCGGGUUGUAAACCUCUUUUGGCAGGGAAGAAGCGAAAGUGACGGUACCUACAGAAAAAGCACCGGCUAACUACGUGCCAGCAGCCGCAGUAA